Molecule: long non-coding RNA, 647 nt
Organism: Hippopotamus amphibius kiboko
Lineage: Eukaryota; Metazoa; Chordata; Mammalia; Artiodactyla; Hippopotamidae
Exons: 3
Source: RefSeq, a predicted model, not a curated record
UUUGAGCAGCAAUCCGGUAGUCACCGUCACCGCGUCCGGGCCAGAGCUCUGAGAAAAUCUGGACCCUACUUCCUAGACUUCUGAAGCUUUUUCAGCCCUGGGCUACAUUUCCCUGAAGGCAUCACUUCAAGACUCAAGCUCUGGUAACCUCUUUGGGAUUUUCUAGAACCUCUGGGGAGUCACUUAAAUAAAACGAAAUACCUCCGCUCACACCGUAGCAGCGUGAGAUCCCGGUUUCCAGCAAGGGAGCCCCGAGGCGCGCCCGAUUCCGGACCACAGGACGUGGCCACUGCCUCUGGAUUCUGCUGAAUUGGGCCGGGUUCGUGCUUAAGACUACAUUUCCCGGAGGCCACCACGUCCCUGCGCCAUUUCUUACACUUACUCCGUUACUCCUUGGUUUAAGGAUCCAGUCUGUAGCAGUAGCCCUGCUGUCCUCUUAGGACUCUGCACAUCUCCAGGGGAGGAACCCAGAAAGUUGAUCAGUUCUGACAGUUCUCAAAACCAUGCCUCACGCACUCCCACUCCUCUUGAGAGAAGUCUACAGCUAUAUCCCUGAACAUCAUCAACUGCUGAAAUGAUAAACCCAAACAUCAAUGGUGAAGUCAAAAGAAAUCUUUCAGAUGGAUGGGGAAAAGAAGGAAAAGGGC